AUUGAACGCUGGCGGCAGGCCUACCACAUGCAAGUCGAGCGAGCGGCGGACGGGUGAGUAAUGUCUGGGAAACUGCCUGAUGGAGGGGGAUAACUACUGGAAACGUUAGCUCAUACCUCAUACCAUCAGAUGUGCCACGAUGGUAUUAGCUAGUCUGUGGGGUACCGGCUCACCUAGGCGACGAUCCCUAGCUGGUCUGAGAGGAUGAACAGCCACACUGGAGCGGAAACACGGUCCAGACUCCUACGGGAGGCAGCAGUGGGGAAUAUUGCACAAUUGGCGAAAGCCUGAUGCAGCCAUGCCGCGUGUGUGAAGAAGGACUUCGGGUUGUAAAGCACUUUCAGCGGGGAGGCGUUACCCGCAGAAGAAGCACCGGCUAACUCCGUGCCAGCAGCCGCGGUAAUUC
Molecule: ribosomal RNA, 406 nt
Filed under: uncultured bacterium
Lineage: Bacteria
Description: partial 16S ribosomal RNA
Rfam family: Bacterial small subunit ribosomal RNA
Source: RNAcentral